GGGGCUAAACAUGCAGUCGAGCGCGGGAAGCAGGCAGAUCCCUUCGGGGUGAAACCUGUGGAACGAGCGGCGGACGGGUGAGUAACACGUGGGCAACCUGCCUGAAAGUCCGGGAUAACCCCGGGAAACCGGAGCUAAUACCGGAUGGGCCCAUCGACCGCCUGGUCGAUGGGGAAAAGCGGGGAUUUACCUCGCGCUUUCAGAUGGGCCCGCGGCGCAUUAGCUGGUUGGUGGGGUAAGAGCCUACCAAGGCAACGAUGCGUAGCCGACCUGAGAGGGUGAUCGGCCACACUGGGACUGAGACACGGCCCAGACUCCUACGGGAGGCAGCAGUAGGGAAUCAUCCGCAAUGGGCGAAAGCCUGACGGUGCAACGCCGCGUGAGUGAAGAAGGUUUUCGGAUCGUAAAGCUCUGUUAUCCGAGAAGAACAAGGACCGGUCGAAGAGGCCGGUUCCAUGACGGUACCGGAUCAGAAAGCCCCGGCUAACUACGUGCCAGCAGCCGCGGUAAUACGUAGGGGGCAAGCGUUGUCCGGAAUUAUUGGGCGUAAAGGGCGCGCAGGCGGUUUCCUAAGUCUGAUGUGAAAGGCCACGGCUCAACCGUGGAAUGGCAUUGGAAACUGGGGAACUUGAGUACAGGAGAGGAGAGUGGAAUUCCACGUGUAGCGGUGAAAUGCGUAGAGAUGUGGAGGAACACCAGUGGCGAAGGCGGCUCUCUGGCCUGUAACUGACGCUGAGGCGCGAAAGCGUGGGGAGCGAACAGGAUUAGAUACCCUGGUAGUCCACGCCGUAAACGUUGAGUGCUAGGUGUUAGGGGUUUCGACGCCCUUAGUGCCGAAGCAAACGCAUUAAGCACUCCGCCUGGGGAGUACGACCGCAAGGUUGAAACUCAAUGAAAUUUUCCCGG
RNAcentral lists this ribosomal RNA (906 nucleotides) under Salibacterium halochares. RNAcentral's name for it is "bacterial SSU rRNA". It matches the Rfam family "Bacterial small subunit ribosomal RNA", at positions 44 to 918 of the family's 1533-position model. The record is from RNAcentral. Lineage: Bacteria; Bacillati; Bacillota; Bacilli; Caryophanales; Bacillaceae.